Molecule: transfer RNA, 72 nt
Filed under: Dipodomys ordii (Ord's kangaroo rat)
Lineage: Eukaryota; Metazoa; Chordata; Mammalia; Rodentia; Heteromyidae
Rfam family: tRNA
About the family: Transfer RNA (tRNA) molecules are approximately 80 nucleotides in length. Their secondary structure includes four short double-helical elements and three loops (D, anti-codon, and T loops).
Source: Rfam by way of RNAcentral
UUGAAAAUAGCUCAGUGGUAAAGUAUGUGCCUAGCAUGCACAAAAUCCUGGGUUCAAUUUCUAGUCUACAAU